CCUACGGGUGGCUGCAGUGGGGAAUAUUGGACAAUGGGCGCAAGCCUGAUCCAGCAAUACCGCGUGUGUGAAGAAGGCCUGAGGGUUGUAAAGCACUUUUAAUCGGGAGGAAAACCUGUCGGCGAAUACCCGGCGGCUUGACAUUACCGAUAGAAAAAGCACCGGCUAACUCCGUGCCAGCAGCCGCGGUAAUACGGAGGGUGCAAGCGUUAAUGGGAAUUGCUGGGCGUAAAGCGUUCGAGUCAGACGUGAAAGCCCCGGGCUUAACCUGGGAACUGCAUUUGAUACUGGAGGGCUAGAGUUUAAUAGAGGGGAGUGGAAAUUCCGGUGUAGCGGUGAAAUGCGUAGAGAUCGGAAGGAACACCAGUGGCGAAGGCGACUCCCUGGAUUAAAACUGACGCUGAGGUACGAAAGCGUGGGUAGCAAACAGGAUUAGAUACCCGGGUAGUC
This 450-nucleotide ribosomal RNA is filed under the name uncultured bacterium. Its description in RNAcentral is "partial 16S ribosomal RNA". It matches the Rfam family "Bacterial small subunit ribosomal RNA", at positions 338 to 795 of the family's 1533-position model. The record is from RNAcentral.